RNAcentral lists this long non-coding RNA (1659 nucleotides) under Heterocephalus glaber (naked mole-rat). RNAcentral's name for it is "lncRNA (ENSHGLG00000042111.1)". The record is from RNAcentral. Lineage: Eukaryota; Metazoa; Chordata; Mammalia; Rodentia; Bathyergidae.
CCACCACACCUGCGGUUUUUGGGGGGGAGGGGGGCAGCGUCCUGCUAAGUUAAGUUGCCCAGGUGGACUCAGACUUGCACGGACCUGCCCCAGCCUCCUAGAGCACUGUAUGCACUUCCGGGUAGGCAGACACUACCCACUCCAGCGAGGAGCUGCCUUGUGUCUGUGCUAGUGCUGUGAAAUAACUCUGGGACGAACCCUUUGCACAGGGAGCUUUCUGCUCACCUGACUUCCGAGAGUGGAGCCUAGCGCCCCCAAAUCCAGGGCUGUGGUGGAGUCCAUCAUUGCCCCAGAAAUGCUACCUGAUGUGACCUGUCUAGAGAAAGGAACUCGUGCAGUUUCUUUAUAAAGCUGAGGAAAGCUCUGGAACUUCCCCCCCAUCUCUUUCUGUGCACAAAGUUACGCUAAUCUCCUUGGUGUGCUGCCAGUGUGGAGCCUCUUUCCAUUCACAUGCGGGUCCUUUUUGGUUUUUGCUGGCGUCCCUCCCUGAGAGGUAUUUUGGGACUGUGUGCCCGUCAGCUUCUUGGGGGCAGACAGCUGUCAGUUCUGUUCACCUGUGUCCCCAGUGCCAGGCCAGACAGUGUGCAGCCGUGACACAGCAGUGGAAAGACAAGGGACACAGAAAAGACCCACAUUUAUUCAGAUCAGCGAACACUGCCAGGAGCCUGGUGGGCAUGUUCCCAGAGAGGAAUCACACCACGGGGAAUGAAAACUGCAGUGUGCCAGAGCUUCCUGCUGUUGGGGAUGUGCUAUGGGAAGCGACCCAGUUACCCUGUGGCAGCUCAGCCCAGCGUGGGGCCGCUCAGUGGCUGGACCUGUGUCGCCCUAGCUGUGAGAGGGGCCAGGCAGGUUCUCCAGGGACCUGGCAGCCUCUGUGCGUCUCCAGCCCCCUCAGGCUGUGGCCUGGGUGUGUGCAGAGGCAACGUGCCUACUUCUGGAGCCUCCACGUGACUGUCAUGCCUGUUCCCUCCUGGGAGGGGACACUGUAACACAGGCUGCUCAGGCUGGGCAGGCAAACCACUGGCUCUGUUUAGCUUUCCCUCAGCCUGGGCCUUCAUCAUCUCUACCCAGGCACUGACCUCUCCCUUCUGUAUUUUCCUUUUGUGGUGCUGGGGAGUGAUUCCAGGGCCUUCACAGUGAGCUGCAUCCCCAGCCCUUUUUAAAAUUUUUUGAGCACUUAGGAGGCUGAGGCAGGAGGCUUCCUGUGAGUUCAAGGCCAGCCUGGACUACAUAAUGAGACUCUCAAAAAAUCAAAAAUAAAUAAAAAUAAAAAUUUUAAAUUUUGAGACAGGGUCUUAUUAAAUUGCCUAAGGUGGGUUCAGACUUCCAGUCUCUUGCCUCAGACUCCUAGAGUUCUAGAAUUACAGGCAUGUGCCACCAUUUUUUUUUUUUGGCACUGGGGAUCAAACUCAGGACUUGUGCUUUUGAGGAAGGCAGGGUGCCACUGAGCUAAAUCCCGGCCCAGCAUCAUCUUUAGCUAAAGGUUUAUACUUCCACAGCAUCCUCACCUAUAUAGCCAGUGCCUCCGCGAGGCUAGAGACAGACCAUAUAAGCAGGGGAAUGAGGCAGGGCAGGAUUGGACAAGCCCCUGAAAUUAGGAGCACAAAACCUGUGAGGGUUUUGAAUCCUCCAAAGGUUGAAAACCAUCCUGCAGACAAU